This 497-nucleotide ribosomal RNA is filed under the name uncultured bacterium. Its description in RNAcentral is "partial 16S ribosomal RNA". It matches the Rfam family "Bacterial small subunit ribosomal RNA", at positions 28 to 507 of the family's 1533-position model. The record is from RNAcentral.
GACGAACGCUGGCGGCGUGCUUAAUACAUGCAAGUCGAGCGCUGACGGUCGGUUCUUUUGGCAAGUGGAUGGGCGGCGAACGGGUGAGUAACGCGUGGGGAAUCUCCCUCUGCGCGGGGGACAACAUUUGGAAACGAAUGCUAAUAGCGCAUAACAACUUGAUACACAAGGUUUAAGUUUGAAAGAUGCAAUUGCCUCACUCAAAGGUGAUCCCGCGUUGUAUUAGCUAGUUGGUGGGGUAAAGGCUCAUCGAGGCGAGGAUACAUAGCCGAGCUGCGAGGGUGGGCGGCCACACUGGGAGUGAGACACGGCACAGACUCCUACGGGAGGGAGCAGUAGGGAAGCUUCGGCAAGGGACGGAAGUGUGACCGAGCGACGCCGCGUGAGGGGAGAAGGGUGUCGGAUCGGAAAACUCUGUUGGUAGAGAAGAACGUUGGGGAGAGUGGAAAGCGGAGCAAGUGACGGUAACUACGCAGAAAGGGACGGCUAACUACGUG